CCAUCCAUCCAUCCAUCCUUGUCUGACAUUAAGCAGGGUUGGGCCUGGUUAGUGCUUGGAUGGGAGACUACCCGGGAUAAUCUCAGUGGUGGCUCCA
This 97-nucleotide ribosomal RNA is filed under the name Salvator merianae (Argentine black and white tegu). Lineage: Eukaryota; Metazoa; Chordata; Lepidosauria; Squamata; Teiidae. The record is from RNAcentral.